UGGGGAAUAUUGGACAAUGGGCGAAAGCCUGAUCCAGCCAUGCCGCGUGUGUGAAGAAGGUCUUCGGAUUGUAAAGCACUUUAAGUUGGGAGGAAGGGCAGUAAGCGAAUACCUUGCUGUUUUGACGUUACCGACAGAAUAAGCACCGGCUAACUCUGUGCCAGCAGCCGCGGUAAUACAGAGGGUGCAAGCGUUAAUCGGAAUUACUGGGCGUAAAGCGCGCGUAGGUGGUUCGUUAAGUUGAAUGUGAAAGCCCCGGGCUCAACCAGGGAACUGCAUCCAAAACUGGCGGGCUAGAGUAGGGCAGAGGGUGGUGGAAUUUCCUGUGUAGCGGUGAAAUGCGUAGAUAUAGGAAGGAACGCCAGUGGCGAAGGCGACCACCUGGGCUCAUACUGACACUGAGGUGCGAAAGCGUGGGGAGCAAACAGG
This 429-nucleotide ribosomal RNA is filed under the name Pseudomonadota bacterium. RNAcentral's name for it is "Proteobacteria bacterium partial 16S ribosomal RNA". It matches the Rfam family "Bacterial small subunit ribosomal RNA", at positions 355 to 776 of the family's 1533-position model. Lineage: Bacteria; Pseudomonadati; Pseudomonadota. The record is from RNAcentral.